This is an RNA transcript of Betta splendens (Siamese fighting fish), 5293 nucleotides long. It is a transcript of the gene named potassium voltage-gated channel subfamily A member 10, with no coding region annotated. The transcript has 3 exons. Lineage: Eukaryota; Metazoa; Chordata; Actinopteri; Anabantiformes; Osphronemidae. The record is from RefSeq and is a predicted model, not a curated record.
CUACGUGAUGAUGAAUAAAUUUCAAUACUUAUAUUAAAAACAGUUUUGUUCUGUUUGAAAAGCGUUAUUAAAAUAAAGCUUUCACACGAGCGCAGAGUCACAGCAGGCACGCUUCUAAGGCGGGAGAUUUAAACUCACGACCGGCGCGCUCCGUGGCUUUGCUCGUUCAGCGCUAACAGCUAGCUACAAAAGCACAGGUGAUCCAUGCUAAUGCGAGCCGUCUGCAUCAACGACACCUCCGCUAGGAAAGGAUGGAAUUAAGACGUUCGACAAGCAAAAUAUUCAGAAGCCAGUGUUGGACACUGAGGUGGCACUCUUCGCUUUAUCAAGCUAGCCUGGAAUACAGACAGGAAGAGUCCCAUUGCAUCAUUGAGGCACAGGGAUACCCUAUUGUUACCAUGGUUACCUCCAGUAAAAUACCAUCAAAGCACUGUCAUCUGUGUGCACACUGACUGUAGCUUGACUUGCUCUUAUAUACAUGUAUUGUCAUUUCGUUUCAUUUUUUCCCUCCAGAUCUUCCUGUCGUUUAAUCUAAAAAAAAAAACAACAACCCCAAAAAACUUUCCUGGAAAGGUCAGCGUGCGUCAGGGGGACUAUUCUCUGGAAUGCGUGAUUUAUUACUGAUGGGCAGUUUUGCAGUGUUUGCCAGAAAGGCUGAAUCGCCAUCCAGAGACGUUUCCUGACAGUGUCAUGGCAGCGUGUCCACAGGUCUCUACAUAUGUUACUGUGUAAGCCCUCCCUGCCUUUGUAUUUUUGUCUAAAUGACUAAAUCAAAUGUGUUCUGUGCCGGGGCACCUACACCUCAGAGCUUGCUGUGAAUCAGUAACAACAUCAGAUUGUCAGAUAAGUGAGAUGAGAAGUGAAUCAGCAGCUGAGAAGACCAAAAUUAAAUCAACAUAUGCCUGGUGUUGUUUAUUGUGAAAAUCAGUUUAAUUGAGCUCUUGCUCCUUUCCAUCCUUGUAAUUCUUGUUGCAGUGCGCUUCGUUCCCAAAUGAGCCGUUGUGCCAUGUCUCACUAUGAUUUGGCAGUGAGACGCACACGCCACCAGUCAGGAGUUACAUUACUCAGCCCAUCUGCUCCAUACAAACUGUGGUUCGCACUUCAAAGAUGUCUCUCGCACCAGUUACUGCAGUGAGGUGCAAGCCUGACAAUUAGCAGAAAUAAUGCAGCAGGGUGCUGUUUCUAGAACAUACAGUAGUAAAGUAGGGGGGGGGGAGUGAAGAAAUAACAUUUGAUUUACUGUUCCUUUCCUAGAAACACAGAUGCUGUUUGAAUGUUGAUUGCUACUGAGUAGACUGUGGAGGAAAAAAAUGAUAAAAAAUUAUCUUUAAUUCCAUUCCUACUUGAAUGGAACUCUGAGCUGCCUCUUUAGACCGUUUAUGAAUGCAUAAGUAAAUCCCAGAUGGUUGGCUGUGCCUUAUUUUGUUUUUAUUCCCUUUCCCAUCAACCUUGUGACAAAAUGUAUGACCAAACCCAGUUUGUAGUCAAUUGAAAUGACUGUAUUAGGAUCCAAACCCAUACCUGGCGGCUCUCUGGUGCUAAAAAUGAAAUCUCAGAUCAUCCAUAAAGCCACGUCCUACGGCUCUGGGGGUUUUUCUGCGUAGCCCCAACCAUCUAUAACCGUGACAGCACGUCAUGUGGGGACUGCACAGGUCGCUCUCCUAGGGGAAGUCUAAUCCAUGAGCCUGGAUCCUCUUUGCCCACGACCUUCAAAUUUCACUGCAGGGAUGGUGUUUGGAACAACAAGACAUGCACCACGUCACAUGCCAUAAUGGACGUCGUAUUUCCUGACUUGUCACAGCCUGUCACCUUCCGCUGCAUAAUGUGGCUUUUACUUGCAAAAAUGCCUGUGUAGACCCACCUUCAUCUGACAGCAUGUUGGAAAAAAAAUACUCCUCUUGGUGUCUGUGUUGAAGGUCAGAUGACGCUGAUCAGAAGUGUUCAUCAUUUAGCCCAUUUUGGUUCAGCACAAACAUUUUUUCCAUUCUGUCUGGGAGAUUCUCAUCAAGUGUAAAACUCCCUGCUGCUUUUUCACUACAUCCAUAUGUAAUUAUGCAUUAUGCAGUAUAUGUGGUAUACGUAUGCACGGAGUGCCAUGUGUUCGUUUUUUGCUUAUCUUUGAUGUUCAUCCAUAACAUUGAGGCGCAGUAGUUGAGGAGGUGCUAAGUUUAAUUCCCUCGUCGGCUUCCAUGUGUGUCACACUUAUUUUAUGCAUCGCUGUGGCAGCAGCUGCUCGCAUUUCCUUGGUGCUCAUGAGAUGGACUUACUGAAGCAUUUUAGCGGGCCAAAAACACACUCUUAGUAUCAACACAGCAAGCAAAGUGGCCUGUAUUUGCUUCAAAUCAUUUAUUAUACACAUACUCAAAGUCUUGAUGGAGGCUGAACAGUUUCCCUCAGUGGGAAGUGCAGAAAUUAAACAAAAAUCUUAAUAGAGGAAAUGUUUUUAGCAGGUGUUAAACUGCAGCUCACACAUUUUGUCAACAAAUUUGUCACGUGAAGCUAAUUUCUGGUUAACAGAUUUGCAUUUUAAUUAUCCAAUAUAUUGAUUGGAUUCUUUAUGUACAGCAUUAUAUCGAAUGGACUCUUUUUUUUUUAGAUUUGCCAGCUCCUGUUGCAGUUUGACUGAGGGAGAAGUCGGCUGUUACAUUGCUCGGGUGCGAGUCUGUUUCUAACAUAUACAAACAAACAUUUCUGACCUCUAGUUUCACCUUGAAUCGUGAUAGCUAUGGCAGUGCACAGUGAGAAUGUGUAAUGAUUCUGCACUGGCAAGGAUAACGUCCAAUGCGUGACUGAUCAAUGUCCUCGCUCUCUUUGCCUGUAUUGAUCAUCCAGUGUUUGCCCGUGAGCCAGACAGACCUGACAUAAAACAAGCCUUUCUCCUCAUUACUUAAAGCACAGUCCAAGCAUCUGUCCCCUUGUCCUCGCUCUGUUUUUCAUUAUGAUCUAUUAGAAGGCAUUCAUUUCCGAAAUGGCCUCGUGCCCCUGCGGACACAGUUAAGUCACAUUUGUAAUGUAACUUAACUUCCAUCUUGUGCCAGUUAAUAAGUCAUUCUCUUAACUUCCCAGGCUGAUAACGUGUCUAUCUUUAGCUGCAUGCGGCUCCAGAGGCUGUGAGUCUGUUUUAUUAGCGCACGCCCAAGAUUAAGGUUGGACAUGAUGAGAACAUUGCCUAAAUGACCCUGUGUAAUGGAAACGCUAUUAAGCAUUUAUAAAGGCAUGCAAGACUGGAUUUAGGGAUGCAUUCGAGGUCAUUGUCUAAGGGAACUACAAAGACAACGAUGCACCUGUAGAUCCACACAUAAUUAGUCUCUUCAAACUUUAAUUAGGACAGUAUUUUACCUUGUGUUAAACUGUCUGCAGCUCAUUUAUUAUUACUGACCUUAAUGUUGUGUUGCAUCAGAUGUGCAGAGCAAAUCCAAGCUGAUGUGUUUUUUUCCCUCCCAAUCAGGAAUCACUGUGUUUACAAGUGUAAAUUCUGCUCACACAGCCUGGAGCACGGAAGUCAAAUUUAUUUUCAUAUAUUGGGUUCAACUGGAGAAUGAAAGGCAAACAGACAGGGGAAAGAAGGCUGUUUGCAAUGAAUGUGUCUAUUCCGCACAAGGUCUGAGCCUAAUACCUGUCCCUUUUUAUUGAUUCGAAUCUUUGUGUUUGAUAAGUGGCCCUGCACUCGACACAUGUUCUCACACACGUGCUCUUACAACAGCCUGAUCCCUUUUUAAUCCUGCUAUAUAACGUGUUCAUUCCUCAGUGGGGAUGUGAAAAAUAGUCUGUGGUAUACACGCUCCUGCACGAGUUGAACCGGAAAUUAUGUAACUUCAACUUAACUCCUUUUCUCUUUACAAAACACUUGAUGUUUUGUUGCCAUGGAGAUGAAAACCCAGACAAUACCUCCCAUGCUUACCGAGAUGCAACUACUGGGAGGUUAAUAGCAACAUGAUUUUCUCACCACAGAGGACAAUUUAAAUAUGUUUAUCACAUUUGUAAGGUUGUUAUUAAUGAGCAGAUACAAGAGUGCUCAAUAUCAGUCAUUUGGAGCCAGGUUGAUGAAGAUAAUCAAUACUUCUACUGGCAUCAAUUAAAUAGCAAAUUAAAAUCAACGUGUUUAUGAUUGAGGUAUGUGGUAAACAGAUAUUCAACAUGUGAUUACUUUUCAUUGUUGGAAUAAUUGGUUUAAGACAGAAUAAUAUAUUUAGUGUAUUAUGGAAUCAAACUGAAAAAGUAAAACAAGUUAUCUCAGGUCAAUUAUGUGGGUCAUCAAGCAGCUUUUUUUCUGGUGACUUUAUGCCUUAAGGUUUUAGCUUCAUUUCAUCAUUUCUCUUCUUGCAUUCAGUUAAACACCUCUCUGAAUGAUAGAAAACACACACUCCUGUGCCAUUAAACACAGUUUUAAUGCAAUCCUCUGUAUUAUUUGUUAAUACAGUAGCAUGUAACAUCAUAAAAAUAAAAACUGACAAUAUAUGGAGAGAGCACAUCAGUAAACGUUUUCUAUCUUUCAUUGUUUGCAAUGUCUUGUGGAAGGAUGCUGAUGCUGGAGGCAGGACGUGGAUCAGCACAAAAGUAACUUUUUAAAAAGUGGAUUAUAAUAAUACUUUAAAACGUGGAGUAUAGUGUAUAUGCAGUUGUUUACUUGUAGGCCCUCCCAAGGUUUAACAGUUUGUGUACUUCAUCUGUGUACUACACUUUUCAGUUGCUACUUCAGACAAAUAAAAUUUGUAUUUGUGUUUUAGAUGAUAUUUCUAAUUUCAGUCUAAUACAGUACUUGUGUUGCCUCCAAUGCGACAUCUUGUGCUUCGUGGAGAGACAUGAAAUAAGCUGCUCCUGGUUUGAAUGGUGUAAAAGAAGUCAAAAGGUUUUUACAAGAUAAUUUAAAUUGAUUUUGUUUUUAUGUAGCGUGGGAAAAUAAAACCUAAACAAGUCUGGUACAUUGUGCCUAAUUGACUCUUAUGCCACUUGGCUCUUAAAUGCACAGACAUCGUCAGUGCCAAUAUGAGUAAGAAGACACUGGUUUAACAUUUUCGUCAUUAAUCACUGCUGGAACAAAGGCCUCCAGAAGAUUGGAGGCGAUCUCUCGCCACAUGGUGCAAAAGAUUUUGCUUGAGUUGAGAUGACUACUGAUCCUGGGGCUGUUGUUCUGUGUUAUUAAUGUCUGCUGAAGCAUUACGCACUGGACGCAUUCAAACUCGAACUACUGGACUCGGUGGCUGUAGAUCGCGCGCGCAUUGAUUUACAAGCGGGUGCGCGCUCGUUUCAGCACCAUGGAGAGCAACACCCCCUCAGAAAACAAAAUAUAGAG